GAAAUGCGAUAAGUAAUGUGAAUUGCAGAAUUCAGUGAAUCAUCGAAUCUUUGAACGCACCUUGCGCUCCUUGGUAUUCCUUGGAGCAUGCCUGUUUGAGUAUCAUGAAAUCUUCAAAGUAAAUCUUUUGUUAACUCAAUUGGUUUCUACUUUGGUAUUGGAGGUCUUUGCAGCUUCACACCUGCUCCUCUUUGUUCAUUAGCUGGAUCUCAGUGUUAUGCUUGGUUCCACUCGGCGUGAUAAGUUAUCUAUCGCUGAGGACACUGUAAAAGGUUGCCAAGGUAAAUGCAGAUGAACCGCUUCUAAUAGUCCAUUGACUUGGACAAUACUUUUAUGAUCUGAUCUCAAAUCAGGUAUGACUACCCGCUGAACUUAAGC
This 378-nucleotide unclassified non-coding RNA is filed under the name plant metagenome. Its description in RNAcentral is "partial contains 5.8S ribosomal RNA, internal transcribed spacer 2, and large subunit ribosomal RNA". The stretch from base 1 to 105 matches the Rfam family "5.8S ribosomal RNA", at positions 50 to 154 of the family's 154-position model. The record is from RNAcentral.